CUGAACAAACUCUUCUAUUGACUCCAGUUAGACCAACAUUGAUGCUUCAUAUGUUUGAUUUUAUGCAAACUCAGUGACCUUCCUUGUUUCUCAGCUAUAAAAACAUCACAUCAGGCUGUCAGUGGAGUUCACAGCACGUCAGUUUCAACAUAAACCAUGUUCUCUGGAGCUCUGCUGCUGCUGUUGGCAGCUGGAUGUGUGAAGUGUGAACAGUUGACCCAGCCAGCCUCUGUGACUGUGCAGCCAGGUCAACGUCUGACCAUCACCUGUCAGGUCUCUUAUUCUCUCAGCAGCUACUACACAGCUUGGAUCAGACAGCCUGCAGGGAAAGGACUGGAGUGGAUUAGUAGUGAUACAAACGUCAAAGAUUCACUGAAGAACAAGUUCAGUGUAAACAUGGAAUCUUCCAGCAAGACAGUGACUCUAAAUGGACAGAAUGUGCAGCCUGAAGACACUGCUGUGUAUUACUGUGCCAGAGAGCCACAGUAACACAAACCAUCAGUAGACCUGAACAAAAACCCCUCAGAGCCUGAACACUUGUAACAUGAAGCCACCAGAGGAGGAGCCCUCAGACCACUAAAGGUUUCAACACCAGCUUACUGUUACAGUAAACAGA
Molecule: non-coding RNA, 616 nt
Organism: Perca fluviatilis (European perch)
Lineage: Eukaryota; Metazoa; Chordata; Actinopteri; Perciformes; Percidae
Source: the annotation of a RefSeq genome assembly